RNAcentral lists this ribosomal RNA (454 nucleotides) under uncultured bacterium. RNAcentral's name for it is "partial 16S ribosomal RNA". It matches the Rfam family "Bacterial small subunit ribosomal RNA", at positions 341 to 792 of the family's 1533-position model. The record is from RNAcentral.
ACGGGAGGCAGCAGUGAGGAAUAUUGGUCAAUGGGCGGAAGCCUGAACCAGCCAUCUCGCGUGAAGGAAUACGGCCCUACGGGUCUUAAACUUCUUUUAUAGGGGGAUAAAGUGAGAUACGCGUAUCUUUUUGUAGGUACCCUAUGAAUAAGCAUCGGCUAACUCCGUGCCAGCAGCCGCGGUAAUACGGAGGAUGCGAGCGUUAUCCGGAUUUAUUGGGUUUAAAGGGUGCGCAGGCGGCACGUUAAGUCAGCGGUGAAAUGCAGGGGCUCAACCCCGGCACUGCCGUUGAAACUGGCGAGCUCGAGUACGGAUGAAGUCGGCGGAAUGUGAUGUGUAGCGGUGAAAUGCUUAGAUAUGUCACAGAACACCGAUUGCGAAGGCAGCUGACUAAUCCGCAACUGACGCUCAGGCACGAAAGCGUGGGGAUCGAACAGGAUUAGAUACCCUGGUA